GACGAACGCUGGCGGCGUGCUUAACACAUGCAAGUCGAACGGAAAGGCCCUGCUUUUGUUGGGUGCUCGAGUGGCGAACGGGUGAGUAACACGUGAGUAACCUCCCCUUGACUUUGGGAUAACUUCAGGAAACUGGGGCUAAUACCGGAUAGGAUCUCCUGCUGCAUGGUGGGGUUUGGAAAGUUUCGGCGGUUGUGGAUGGACUCGCUGCUUCUCAGCUUGUUGGUGGGGUAGUGGCUUACCAAGGCUGUGACGGGUAGCCGGCCUGAGAGGGUUACCGGCCACAUGGGGACUGAGAGACGGCCCAGAAGGGUACGGGAGGCAGCAGGGGGGAAUAUUGCAGAAUGGGGGGAAGCCUGAGGCAGCAACGCCGCGUGCGGGAUGACGGCCUUCGGGUGGUAAACAGCUUUCGAAGGAGACGAAGAGUGAGUGACGGUAAUGGGUAAAGAAGCAACGGCUAACUACGUG
This 468-nucleotide ribosomal RNA is filed under the name uncultured bacterium. RNAcentral's name for it is "partial 16S ribosomal RNA". It matches the Rfam family "Bacterial small subunit ribosomal RNA", at positions 28 to 507 of the family's 1533-position model. The record is from RNAcentral.